This 680-nucleotide long non-coding RNA is filed under the name Mytilus galloprovincialis (Mediterranean mussel). Lineage: Eukaryota; Metazoa; Mollusca; Bivalvia; Mytilida; Mytilidae. The record is from RNAcentral.
AAAAAAUACAACAGAAUUAAAAGAGAAAAUACUAGAUCUGCAAUGCAGGUCUAUGAGGAAUAAUUUGGUAUUUACAGGUCUCGAAGAGUCUGCUGAAGAAAACACCAAACAAGUGCUGCAUAAAUUUAUAAGGGAAGAACUCGAUAUUAGAAAAGAAAUUCAACUUGGAACCGUUCAUCGAUUUGGACAAAAAGAUAACAAUGGCAGGCACAGACCUAUUGUGGCGAGCUUUAUUUUUUAUGAAGAUCUGCAAUCCGUAUUAUAUUCCGGACCAAAACUAAAAAAUAAACCAAACUUUGGCAUAAAUACUCAGUUCCCAAGAGAGAUUGAAGAGAGAAGAAAAAAAUUGUACCCCGUGAUGAAAGAGGCAAAGAAAAAAGGAAAAAGAGCAUACAUGAUAAAAGAUAAGCUUUUUAUCGAGGGAAAUAUUUAUAAACCGGAAAUUAAGAAACAAUCACCUGGUGAACAAAAAACCGAACAGUCGACUUCCCUCUCAGGAACACCACCAACAGACAACAGGAAAUCACAAAAACGAGCAAGACAUGGGUCAGAACAAGAAUAGGGGCACGAAGAAGGAGUAGCUGAAGAAAAUGAAAAAAGAUGUUAUUGUGUGUCUGUUAACAAUAGUGUUUGUAAAUUAAAUAUUCUUAGUUUAAAUGUCUGUGGCAUAAAGAAACGAC